UGCCCCUUCUUAUCACUCUUUUCCUCCUUUGUCUCUGUCACCCGCCCACCUCUCCCACGUGGAACUGCAUUGAUUGGACUGGUGUGGUCUGUCCAGAUGUGAGCCGCUGUUCUAUCACAACACUUAGAUCACAACAAAGCAAAUCAUUCUAAUGGAUGUAAGGGCAAAACUCACCAACAGAACCUGUGACGAUUUCCUCUACUCUGUUUAGGAAUUUGGGACUCUGGCAAGACAUUGAGUAGAAACACUGAAUUAUGAGGCCUCAGAGACGCCGCAUCGUUUCAAAUGGGAAAGAAAAAACUUGUUUCCAAGCAAGGAAAAAUAACGCAUUCACUGUUAAUGUCAUCAUCUUUCUGGCUUUGCAUCCCUUUCCCAAGUGACUCAACAAUGCCUUCACUCUAAUCUUGCAGCGCUAGGCAGCCACACCCCACCUCAGCUUCCUGAGCACCCCACUGGAGAGUUCCCCGUGCCAGGCUACCUGGGGCUGCCAUCAGUCUGGGACUGCCUGAGCUGUUUUUCUCUUUAGUGUUUUAAUAGCACACCAUGGUUUCCUCGGUGACACAACAGACCUGGAACCAAUAAACUCCCUUCUGAGUAAUGU
Molecule: long non-coding RNA, 601 nt
Filed under: Rattus norvegicus (Norway rat)
Lineage: Eukaryota; Metazoa; Chordata; Mammalia; Rodentia; Muridae
Description: long non-coding RNA NONRATT000876
Source: RNAcentral